AGCCUUAGGAACUCCAUCUAAGGUUAUACCUGCCCAAUGUAAAUUAAUAUCAAUGGCCGCGGUACUCUGACCGUGCUAAGGUAGCGCAAUCAAUUGGCUUUUAAUUGUAGCCAGGUAUGAAUGGAGUUACGGGGUUUAGCUGUCUCUUAGUUAAUUUAUCGAAAUUACUAUUAAGGUGAAAAAGCCUUAAAAAUAAAAAAGGACGAGAAGACCCUUAGAGUUUGUCUUAUAUUGAAUUAUUUUCAAAUCAGUUUUGUUGGGGCAACAUUGGAUCAGUUUAACAUCCAAAAAUAAAUAUAAGCCGACAUUUAUAAGCUUGAAUAAACUACCUUAGGGAUAACAGCAUAAUUUUAUUAAUAAGUUUGUGACCUCGAUGUUGGACUAGGAAACUAAGAGGUUAGCCGCCUUUUAGGUAAGUUCUGUUCGAACUAUUAUUCCU
Molecule: ribosomal RNA, 439 nt
Filed under: Ceratodoris elisae
Lineage: Eukaryota; Metazoa; Mollusca; Gastropoda; Nudibranchia; Goniodorididae
Description: Okenia elisae partial large subunit ribosomal RNA
Rfam family: Bacterial large subunit ribosomal RNA
Source: RNAcentral